This 1344-nucleotide unclassified non-coding RNA is filed under the name Hevea brasiliensis (rubber tree). The record is from RNAcentral. Lineage: Eukaryota; Viridiplantae; Streptophyta; Magnoliopsida; Malpighiales; Euphorbiaceae.
UUUAUAUAUAUAUAUAUAUACACUGAACUAAUUAUGAACCACACCAAAAUAAUUUGGUUCAUCAGUUUAUAUAUAUAUGUAUGGUUUGGUUAUUUUGAUUCUUUACCAAGAAAACAGAACCAAAAAAGCUUUGUAGCAGAAAAUAUUGCAAUCAAAUUUGAACUUGAUGAACACAAAGCAACUUUUCUAUGAUAAUUUUUUACUAUCAGAAUUCUUUAUCCAUCCAAAUAUCUUCAAUUUCAUUGCAGUGAAGAACUGAAGAUCCUCACAACUUUGCUUAAACAGUCAUCAAAUGAGAGGGAAAAAAAAAAGGAGAUUGGGCAGAGGGAUAAAACAAGAGUUCAUUAAACAAUAGAACAAAAAAAAAACAUUGCACUAUCCACAACCCAUAUAUUGGAAAGUACGCUUGCCAUAUCAAGCCUACAGCACUACUUUUCAAGUGUCAAUCAUCAUCAACAAACAGUUGAUUCCAUUACUAAUGUAAACCAAUAACUUGAGAUAAUAUUUAUCAGUAACCUAAUAUGCAUUUAGACUAUAAAUUGAUGUCCAUUCAGCCAUUUCAAAUUCCAGAAGAAAAUGAUAAAGAGCCUUUUACAAUUACGUUACCCAUACCACUGAACAAAAUUUCAACCAUCAUUUAGGAGUUUAAAGGAGCAGUCAUAUCUGUAUCAAGAUUAAUUCAAGAAUCAACAACAGAAACAUAUUCUUUUUUCACUCUAUUUCUUCUCUCUAAUUCUUUCCUUCUAACUGCUUUCUCUAAUUCUUCUCUUUCUUCUACUGUUUCUUCUCUUCUUGAAAGCUAAAACCUUGUAUCAGAGCUUUGUUACUAGUGGGCUUUGCUUCCAAGUUGAUUGGUGAGAGUCACAACAAUGGCUAGAAGUGUUGUAGUGAAUCAGGAGGCCAUCAGGAGUGCUGAGUUGGAAGAAAAGAUCCAGAAUGUCCAAAGUCGAACAGACAGAGCACUUGAGGAAAUCAGGGUUGAGAUAAAAACAGAACAAUAUUGAGCUCAUGAGAGUCGUUCUUGAUAAAAUGUGAUCCUUAUUGGCUGGAUUCUUGAGUGAAAAAAUGCCAAAGGAGUGAGUAGUGGGAACGUGAUGUUGCCAUGAAGUUGGACAGAGUUGAGGGCAGGGGAAUCUUGCCAACUCCUAAGGAAUUUUUGAGUGCCCAACAGAGGGAGCAAAGAAGUUCUGGGCCUUCAAUGGAGAUAAGAGAAAUACAUGGAUUAUUGCCCAAAAUUGAGCUGGUGACGUGAUGGAUGGGAGCCUAGUGUGUGCCUAAGAAAGUGUGAAAAGUACAUUAAAGUACAAUGGGCGCCCAAAGUACAUUAAAGUACAUUGGGCGCCC